This 650-nucleotide ribosomal RNA is filed under the name uncultured bacterium. Its description in RNAcentral is "bacterial SSU rRNA". It matches the Rfam family "Bacterial small subunit ribosomal RNA", at positions 8 to 655 of the family's 1533-position model. The record is from RNAcentral.
AGAGUUUGAUCAUGGCUCAGAUUGAACGCUGGCGGCAGGCCUAACACAUGCAAGUCGAACGGUAACAGGAUGUGCUUGCACAUCGCUGACGAGUGGCGGACGGGUGAGUAAUGCUUGGGAACUUGCCUUUGCGAGGGGGAUAACAGUUGGAAACGACUGCUAAUACCGCAUAAUGUCUUCGGACCAAACGGGGCUUAGGCUCCGGCGCAAAGAGAGGCCCAAGUGAGAUUAGCUAGUUGGUAAGGUAACGGCUUACCAAGGCGACGAUCUCUAGCUGUUCUGAGAGGAAGAUCAGCCACACUGGGACUGAGACACGGCCCAGACUCCUACGGGAGGCAGCAGUGGGGAAUAUUGCACAAUGGGGGAAACCCUGAUGCAGCCAUGCCGCGUGUGUGAAGAAGGCCUUCGGGUUGUAAAGCACUUUCAGUUGUGAGGAAAAGUUGGUAGUUAAUACCUGCUAGCCGUGACGUUAACAACAGAAGAAGCACCGGCUAACUCCGUGCCAGCAGCCGCGGUAAUACGGAGGGUGCGAGCGUUAAUCGGAAUUACUGGGCGUAAAGCGCACGCAGGCGGUUUGUUAAGCUAGAUGUGAAAGCCCCGGGCUCAACCUGGGAUGGUCAUUUAGAACUGGCAGACUAGAGUCUUGGAGA